UUGCACCAUUUCUAGUUCCUUCUACCCGUUUCCCCUGGAAAUUCUUGUUUUUAACUCACGGCUAAUUCUUGAUUGUGAAGUUGUUUAUUCCAUGUGAACUACUUCCUGUAAGUGACAACACUUUAGUACGACUCUCGUCACACUCGCUGAGGGAAAAUGAGAUGUGACGGUGUGGUAGACUCAAUAAGUGUGACUGAGCUACGAGCAGCAUGGAGAAUGUUUGGAGGCUUACACACACAAUACACUCUUUAAACUCAAUGUGCUGACCUUUACGUAUGUUCCACUACUGUAAGUAGAGUCAUGUUGUGUUUGUAUGUGUAACUCAGAUGGACUGGCCAUGUAGUCCGCAUGCCUGACUCUCACCUCCCAAAACAAGUCCUUUAUUCCCAGCUUGUUGAAGGGAAACGGGCCCCGGGAGGUCAAAAGAAGAGAUUUAAGGAUAACAUCAAGGCAAACCUGACAAAGUGUCGCAUAGACCUUAAGUCUUGGGAAGUCAAGGCAACAGACAGGACGAUGUGGAGAAACCUUGUCCGUGAGGGUGCCGCGCAAUAUAAUGACGACCUCCGCCAUGCUGCACAAGACAAGCGCAGACUUAGAAAGGAGAGAGUAUCCACCAAACAGGCCCAACCCAAACCCACCACCACUACAUUCCCUUGUCCACAUUGCCCCAGAAUAAUCGGGUCCAGAAUCGGCCUCCACGCCCACCUGAAGACCCACAAGGACCAGGAAGGAGGACAGUCAUACUCGACCACGAGUGACCGCCGAUGAUGAUGAUGCGCCGCUGAGAGCACCGCUAAACACGCCCCUACAGCCCUGCACGGUUGCAGACUAUCAGUGAUCAACGCACCUGUUCCUGAUGAGACUCCACACCGUAGGAGCCAGCGUGUCCUGAAAUCUAGUGCUAGAACGUAGAUCUCUGUCUCACAUAUUCCUUCCGUAUCCUUGGUUUGAUCUGUGCGCCUUGCUUCCCUGGACUCCCCCCCCCCCCCCUGGAUUUUGACUGCCUCCGUGGAUCCUCAACCCCUGCUUGGACACGGACCUCUCGCAUGCUUCACGGACUUCCCUCCAGCUUCGCCCCACUGGACUUCUGGACUUCUCAUUCAACACGCAAAUACAACAAACCCCUGUGCUUUGAGGUGGGGGAGGCAUCCACAGCAGGACCCGCUGCUCGUUGAGAAGAGCAGAACCAUCCAUCCAUCUUCUUCCGCUUCUCCGAAAAUGCAUCUUACCUCACAACUCCUGACGUGUUCCUCAGGACGGAGGCGGCAAAACUCUGCGUGACUCCCACCAGGCUGGUGCCAUCCACCUCCACUAUCUGGUCGUUCACUCUGAUCCUAACACAUGGACAUCAAAAUCACUGAAGCAGCUGAUCCAAAACUUCUUUGAAACUAGGAGACAGAGGAAAUGAGGCGCGUGGAGGUCUAACAAAGACACCGAGCCACAACACAGCUGGCAUUUCUUCUCCACUCUGGACAGACUAGAUGAACACCACUAUUCCUAGCAAC
Molecule: long non-coding RNA, 1505 nt
Organism: Entelurus aequoreus (snake pipefish)
Lineage: Eukaryota; Metazoa; Chordata; Actinopteri; Syngnathiformes; Syngnathidae
Exons: 6
Source: RefSeq, a predicted model, not a curated record